RNAcentral lists this small nucleolar RNA (176 nucleotides) under Zea mays. Its description in RNAcentral is "Zm_56". Lineage: Eukaryota; Viridiplantae; Streptophyta; Magnoliopsida; Poales; Poaceae. The record is from RNAcentral.
UUUGCCCUAGGCCGAGCGCUUACCCCUUAAGCUAUGGGGUGGCGUGGUAUUCCACGAGAGAGGGUAUUGUGGCACACGUCCAUACGUGUGAUGGGCAUACAUCAAAAUUUGUCAUUCUGGCACCUCUUCUGUUACCAGUAGCAGCAGUUAGGGGAGCCUGUUUGGAUGAUACAUAU